CAGUCAAGAGAAUAAAACACAUCCAAAAAAAAGAAAACCAAGUUAAAAGAAAUAGCAAAACAACAAAGUAGCUAGUGAUCGAGAGAAUAAAAUCAAGUGGAAGAAUCAUGAUUCCAUUGUUUUCUCUUAGGAUGAACUUCGCGGCCAUGGCUGUGGCAUUAUUGUAUCUAACCACAGUGGAGCCGUGGCGCGUUAAUUCAAAAACGGUGAACAUAAAGCUCGUUACAAAUGCACGUGAAACUAGUGCUCGUAAGUUAAAUUUUAAUUUAUUUUCUUCAGUUUUCAUCACCGGCUCCGGCUAUAGAGUUCGAAACAUGAGUGUAUAAAUAGAGGCGUCUUUAUUUUACACGCCGUCUUAAUUAAAAUUUGAUGUGUUUUGAAUUUAUAGUUUGUUUGGAUGGGAGUUUACCGGG
This 413-nucleotide long non-coding RNA is filed under the name Trifolium pratense (red clover). Its description in RNAcentral is "long non-coding RNA (TPRA_LNC013574)". Lineage: Eukaryota; Viridiplantae; Streptophyta; Magnoliopsida; Fabales; Fabaceae. The record is from RNAcentral.